This 700-nucleotide ribosomal RNA is filed under the name uncultured bacterium. Its description in RNAcentral is "bacterial SSU rRNA". It matches the Rfam family "Bacterial small subunit ribosomal RNA", at positions 120 to 807 of the family's 1533-position model. The record is from RNAcentral.
GGUAACCUGCCCAUCAGAAGGGGAUAACACUUGGAAACAGGUGCUAAUACCGUAUAACACUAUUUUCCGCAUGGAAGAAAGUUGAAAGGCGCUUUUGCGUCACUGAUGGAUGGACCCGCGGUGCAUUAGCUAGUUGGUGAGGUAACGGCUCACCAAGGCCACGAUGCAUAGCCGACCUGAGAGGGUGAUCGGCCACACUGGGACUGAGACACGGCCCAGACUCCUACGGGAGGCAGCAGUAGGGAAUCUUCGGCAAUGGACGAAAGUCUGACCGAGCAACGCCGCGUGAGUGAAGAAGGUUUUCGGAUCGUAAAACUCUGUUGUUAGAGAAGAACAAGGAUGAGAGUAGAACGUUCAUCCCUUGACGGUAUCUAACCAGAAAGCCACGGCUAACUACGUGCCAGCAGCCGCGGUAAUACGUAGGUGGCAAGCGUUGUCCGGAUUUAUUGGGCGUAAAGCGAGCGCAGGCGGUUUCUUAAGUCUGAUGUGGAAGCCCCCGGCUCAACCGGGGAGGGUCAUUGGAAACUGGGGGACUUGAGUGCAGAAGAGGAGAGUGGAAUUCCAUGUGUAGCGGUGAAAUGCGUAGAUAUAUGGAGGAACACCAGUGGCGAAGGCGGCUCUCUGGUCUGUAACUGACGCUGAGGCUCGAAAGCGUGGGGAGCGAACAGGAUUAGAUACCCUGGUAGUCCACGCCGUAAAC